CAGCACCUCAAGUGGUCAGGAUGAUUAUUGGGCCUAAAGCAUCCGUAGCCGGCUCUGUAAGCUUUCGGUUAAAUCUGUACGCUCAACGUACAGGCUGCCGGGAAUACUGCAGAGCUAGGGAGUGGGAGAGGUAGACGGUACUCGGUAGGAAGGGGUAAAAUCCUUUGAUCUAUUGAUGACCACCUGUGGCGAAGGCGGUCUACCAGAACACGUCCGACGGUGAGGGAUGAAAGCUGGGGGAGCAAACCGGAUUAGAUACCCGAGUAGUCC
RNAcentral lists this ribosomal RNA (270 nucleotides) under uncultured archaeon. RNAcentral describes it as "partial 16S ribosomal RNA". It matches the Rfam family "Archaeal small subunit ribosomal RNA", at positions 477 to 747 of the family's 1478-position model. The record is from RNAcentral.